Molecule: ribosomal RNA, 506 nt
Filed under: uncultured bacterium
Lineage: Bacteria
Description: bacterial SSU rRNA
Rfam family: Bacterial small subunit ribosomal RNA
Source: RNAcentral
AUCAUGGCUCAGGAUGAACGCUAGCGGCAGGCUUAACACAUGCAAGUCGAGGGGCAGCAUGACACGGAGAUUCGUCGAAGUGUCGAUGGCGACCGGCGCACGGGUGAGUAACGCGUAUCCAACCUGCCCAUUACUCUGGGAUAGCCUUGCGAAAGUAAGAUUAAUACCGGAUGUUGUUAAAAACCCGCAUGAGUUUUUAGCCAAAGAUUUAUUGGUAAUGGAUGGGGAUGCGUGACAUUAGGUAGUAGGUGAGGUAACGGCUCACCUAGCCGACGAUGUCUAGGGGUUCUGAGAGGAAGGUCCCCCACACUGGAACUGAGACACGGUCCAGACUCCUACGGGAGGCAGCAGUGAGGAAUAUUGGUCAAUGGACGAGAGUCUGAACCAGCCAAGUAGCGUGCAGGAUGACGGCCCUCUGGGUUGUAAACUGCUUUUAGUUGGGAAUAAAAAGAGGGACGUGUCCCUAAUUGUAUGUACCAUCAGAAAAAGGACCGGCUAAUUCCGUG